Molecule: RNase P RNA, 347 nt
Filed under: Halieaceae bacterium MED-G27
Lineage: Bacteria; Pseudomonadati; Pseudomonadota; Gammaproteobacteria; Cellvibrionales; Halieaceae
Also listed under: 2 other names
Description: RNase P RNA component class A
Rfam family: Bacterial RNase P class A
About the family: Ribonuclease P (RNase P) is a ubiquitous endoribonuclease, found in archaea, bacteria and eukarya as well as chloroplasts and mitochondria.
Source: RNAcentral
CGAGUUGGUCAGGCGAUCGCUGUGCUAUUCAGCGCAGAGGAAAGUCCGGGCUCCAACGGGUCAGAGUGCCAGGUAACGCCUGGGAGGCGCGAGCCUACGGAAAGUGCAGCAGAAAGGAAACCGCCCAGCCCUGAGGUUGGGUAAGGGUGAAAAGGUGCGGUAAGAGCGCACCGCAUGGUCGGCAACGAGCAUGGCGAUGGUAAACCCCACUCGGAGCAAGACCAAAUAGGGAUCCUUAGGCCGUGACCCUCGGCGGAUCCGGGUAGGUCGCUACAGGCGAGCGGCGACGCUCGUCGCAGAUGAAUGAUCGUCCACGACAGAACCCGGCUUAUCGACCAACUCACCUU